RNAcentral lists this ribosomal RNA (839 nucleotides) under uncultured bacterium. RNAcentral describes it as "bacterial SSU rRNA". It matches the Rfam family "Bacterial small subunit ribosomal RNA", at positions 39 to 881 of the family's 1533-position model. The record is from RNAcentral.
GCGGGAGGCCUAACACAUGCAAGCCGAGCGGUAUUUGUCUUUCGGGACAGAGAGAGCGGCGUACGAGUGCGGAACACGUGUGCAACCUGCCUUUAUCAGGGGGAUAGCCUUUCGAAAGGAAGAUUAAUACCCCAUAAUAUUUUGGAUGGCAUCAUUUAAAAUUGAAAACUCCGGUGGAUAGAGAUGGGCACGCGCAAGAUUAGAUAGUUGGUAGGGUAACGGCCUACCAAGUCAAUGAUCUUUAGGGGGCCUGAGAGGGUGAUCCCCCACACUGGUACUGAGACACGGACCAGACUCCUACGGGAGGCAGCAGUGAGGAAUAUUGGACAAUGGGUUAGCGCCUGAUCCAGCCAUCCCGCGUGAAGGACGACGGCCCUAUGGGUUGUAAACUUCUUUUGUACAGGGAUAAACCUAUUUACGUGUAAAUAGCUGAAGGUACUGUACGAAUAAGCACCGGCUAACUCCGUGCCAGCAGCCGCGGUAAUACGGAGGGUGCAAGCGUUAUCCGGAUUUAUUGGGUUUAAAGGGUCCGUAGGCGGAUCUGUAAGUCAGUGGUGAAAUCUCACAGCUUAACUGUGAAACUGCCAUUGAUACUGCAGGUCUUGAGUAAGGUAGAAGUGGCUGGAAUAAGUAGUGUAGCGGUGAAAUGCAUAGAUAUUACUUAGAACACCAAUUGCGAAGGCAGGUCACUAUGUCUUAACUGACGCUGAUGGACGAAAGCGUGGGGAGCGAACAGGAUUAGAUACCCUGGUAGUCCACGCCGUAAACGAUGCUAACUCGUUUUUGGGUUUUCGGAUUCAGAGACUAAGCGAAAGUGAUAAGUUAGCCACCUGGGGAGU